RNAcentral lists this ribosomal RNA (405 nucleotides) under uncultured bacterium. Its description in RNAcentral is "partial 16S ribosomal RNA". It matches the Rfam family "Bacterial small subunit ribosomal RNA", at positions 30 to 526 of the family's 1533-position model. The record is from RNAcentral.
AUUGAACGCUGGCGGCAGGCUUAACACAUGCAAGUCGAACGAGUGGCGGUCGGGUGAGUAAUGCUUGGGCAUCUAGCUUAUGGAUGGGGAUAACUACGGGAAACUGUAGCUAAUACCGCGUACCCUAGGAUGAGCCCAAGUGGGAUUAGGUAGUUGGUGAGGUAACGGCUCACCAAGCCGACGAUCUCUAGCUGGCCUGAGAGGAUGACCAGCGACACGGGGACUGAUAACCGGCACAAAUACCUACGGGGGGCAGCAGUGGGGAAUAUUGCGUAAUGGGGGCAACCUGACUCGGCCAUGCCGCGUGGAUGAAGAAGGCCUUCGGGUGGUAAAGUUCUUUAGGUAGCGAAGCGUUAACUACAGAGGAAGCACCGGCUAACUCCGUGCCAGCAGCCGCGGUAAUUC